ACUCAAAUGAAUAGACGGGGACCCGCACAACCGGUGGAGCGUGUGGUUCAAUUCGAGACAAAACGAAAAACCUCACCAGGGUUUGACAUAAUACCGUACAUUUUUCUAGAAAUAGAGAGAAAUCCGCAAGGAUGGUACUACAGGUGCUGCAUGGCUGUCGUCAGCUCGUGCCGUGAGGUGUUCCCUUAAGUGGGGAAACGAGCGCAACCCGCGUCUAAUGUUGAAUAUUCAUUAGAGACAGUCCCUAGAUUUUCUAGGGAAGGAAGGAGCGGCAGAUGUCAAGUCAGCACGGCCCUUAUACCCUGGGCUACACACACACUACAAUGGCGAAAAACAACGGGCAGCAAGCCGGCAACGGCAAGCAAAUCCCUGAAAUUUCGCCCCAGUUCAGAUUGGGGUCUGAAACUCGACCCCAUGAAGCCGGAAUCGGUAGUAAUCGCAAAUCAGCAUGUUGCGGUGAAUACGUUCUCGGGUCUUGUACACACCGCCCGU
RNAcentral lists this ribosomal RNA (492 nucleotides) under uncultured bacterium. RNAcentral describes it as "partial 16S ribosomal RNA". It matches the Rfam family "Bacterial small subunit ribosomal RNA", at positions 899 to 1397 of the family's 1533-position model. The record is from RNAcentral.